UACAGAGGUCCCAAGCGUUGUUCGGAUUCAUUGGGCGUAAAGGGUGCGUAGGCGGCGCGGUAAGUCGGGUGUGAAAUCUCGGGGCUUAACCCCGAAACUGCAUUCGAUACUGCCGUGCUUGAGGACUGGAGAGGAGACUGGAAUUUACGGUGUAGCGGUGAAAUGCGUAGAUAUCGUAAGGAAGACCAGUGGCGAAGGCGGGUCUCUGGACAGUUCCUGACGCUGAGGCACGAAGGUCAGGGGAGCAAACGGG
Molecule: ribosomal RNA, 253 nt
Filed under: uncultured bacterium
Lineage: Bacteria
Description: partial 16S ribosomal RNA
Rfam family: Bacterial small subunit ribosomal RNA
Source: RNAcentral